UCUCAUCCCAGGCUGGUUUCUGCCGUCGCCGGCGCCGGUGUGGGCGUGGGCCGGGUGCAGGCCAUCUCGGCACUCUCCCUGUCGGUGGGGGCAUCCCGUCGGGGCACCUUCCGCUCCUCCGCCUCGCACCUCCGGGUGCCCGGCGGGGCACCUUCGGCCCUUGCGCGCAUUGCCUGCAGCCUGCAUGUCGGCAUUNGCCGNCUGUUGGCGGGGUCCCUGGCCCGCCCACGGCGCACGCAUCCGUCGCUGGUCUGCUGCGGCUGCUCCUGCCGCCUUGGCCCUGCGCCCCUGUGUCCCCAGCACUUCCCUUCACUGGGG
RNAcentral lists this ribosomal RNA (318 nucleotides) under uncultured bacterium. RNAcentral describes it as "partial 16S ribosomal RNA". The record is from RNAcentral.